UCUGGCGAUGAUGACACACUUGCCCUCACUGAGAAUAUAGUUUGGUGAUGAGAACCUUUCUAUAUGUACUCAAAAACUGAGCCAGA
Monodelphis domestica (gray short-tailed opossum) is the source of this 86-nucleotide small nucleolar RNA. The record is from Ensembl. Lineage: Eukaryota; Metazoa; Chordata; Mammalia; Didelphimorphia; Didelphidae.